This is a long non-coding RNA of Ictalurus furcatus (blue catfish), 416 nucleotides long. RefSeq lists it as uncharacterized. The record is from RefSeq and is a predicted model, not a curated record. Lineage: Eukaryota; Metazoa; Chordata; Actinopteri; Siluriformes; Ictaluridae. The transcript has 2 exons.
UCCUGAUCCCCCACCACCUCCCACCCCCACCAGCCCCCUCCUUCCUCACUGCCACCCCAAAGUCCUCUUCCCUCCCUCUUUUGUCUGUCGUUCCCUCUCUCGAGACCUUCGGUCCCUUUAUCUUGUGGAAGCUUUCAAACUCGUCCCUCCGGAUCCCUGGCGCGUGCCUACACACGGAGCUCGACACUCACUGCGAUGAAAACCCAACACCGAUGGGCUCGAUGUAGACACCAGGCUGCUGCAACACCUUGUCCAGCGUGGUCUUCUUAAUAGCAGCAGGAGAGAUUUGCUCCUGAUCAGCAAGAAACUGCAGUUCCCUGGGGAAAAAAAAGAAAAGAAAAGAAAAGAAAAGACAAAUACAGGACGAGCCCACGAUUAGACAUCACCUCUGAAACGGUCCAUAUCUCUAAAAACAA